This is a small nucleolar RNA of Bombina bombina (fire-bellied toad), 155 nucleotides long. RefSeq annotates it as small nucleolar RNA Z112. The record is from RefSeq and is a predicted model, not a curated record. The transcript has a single exon. NCBI's taxonomy places the organism in Eukaryota, Metazoa, Chordata, Amphibia, Anura, Bombinatoridae.
GUGCCUUUGUCAAUGUCAAAAACAAAUACACAAUAGCACACAACCAGAGUGCAGCUCCACACCCCAGAACAAAUCUCUGAGAUUUGUUCUGGGGUGUGGAGCUGCACUCUGGUUGUGUGCUAUUGUGUAUUUGUUUUUGACAUUGACAAAGGCAC